UUAAAUUGAAGAGUUUGAUCAUGGCUCAGAUUGAACGCUGGCGGCAGGCCUAACACAUGCAAGUCGAGCGGAAACGAGUUAACUGACCCUUCGGAUGACGUUAACGGCGUCGAGCGUCGGACGGGUGAGUAAUGCCUGGGAGCUUGCGAUGAUGUGUGGGGUAACCAUUGGAAACGCUGG
RNAcentral lists this ribosomal RNA (180 nucleotides) under Vibrio sp. ER1A. RNAcentral's name for it is "partial 16S ribosomal RNA". It matches the Rfam family "Bacterial small subunit ribosomal RNA", at positions 1 to 162 of the family's 1533-position model. Lineage: Bacteria; Pseudomonadati; Pseudomonadota; Gammaproteobacteria; Vibrionales; Vibrionaceae. The record is from RNAcentral.